Molecule: ribosomal RNA, 1751 nt
Filed under: human oral metagenome
Description: bacterial LSU rRNA
Rfam family: Bacterial large subunit ribosomal RNA
Source: RNAcentral
AGCUACGGGUCUUAUGUAUUUAAUGCAUAAGGCGGUAGGGGAGCAUUCCAUGUACUGAUGAAGGCGUACCUGAGAGGGGCGCUGGAGGGGAUGGAAGAGAGAAUGCAGGUAUAAGUACACGAAAAGAAAGGUGAGAUUCCUUUCCGCCGAAAACCUAAGGUUUCCUGGGUAAAGGUCAUCUGCCCAGGGUUAGUCGGCCCCUAAGGCGAGGGCGAAAGCCGUAGUCGAUGGGAAAUCGGUUCAUAUUCCGAUACCUUUUAUAAUUUCGAUGGCAGGACGCAUGAGGUGAAACCCGGCCGGCUAACGGAUGCCGGUCAAAGUAAGCGAGCCGUUAUAAAGAAUAGUAGGCAAAUCCGCUAUUCAAGGUAAGCUGCGACAGCGAGUGAAACUAAGGUGGAGCGAAGCGGGCGUAAUCAAGGUGCCGGGAAAUACUGUCUAAGGUUAAGGUUAUAAAAGACCGUACCGUAAACCGACACAGGUAGAUGGGAUGAGAAAUCUAAGGCGCUCGAGAGAACUCGCGUUAAGGAAUUCGGCAAAAUGCACACGUAACUUCGGAAAAAGUGUGACCUCCUUUUUUUUAAAGAUGAGGGGGUGGCAGAAAGCAGGCCCAGGCGACUGUUUAUCAAAAACACAGCCAUCUGCGAACCAGCAAUGGGACGUAUAGGUGGUGACACCUGCCCGGUGCCGGAAGGUUAAGAGGAGCGGUGAGCAGUAAUGCGAAGCUGUUAAUUGAAGCCCCGGUAAACGGCGGCCGUAACUAUAACGGUCCUAAGGUAGCGAAAUUCCUUGUCGGGUAAGUUCCGACCCGCACGAAUGGUGUAACGAUUCUGGGCACUGUCUCAACGCGAGACUCGGUGAAAUUUAUAUACCGGUAAAGAAGCCGGUUACCCAUAGUUAGACGGUAAGACCCCGUGAACCUUCACCGUAACUUACUAUUGGGAUUUUAUUUAUCAUGUGUAGAAUAGGUGGGAGACUAUGAGGCGUGGUCGUUAGGCUGCGAAGAGUCGAAAAGUGAAAUACCACUCUUGAUGAAUGAAAUUUCUAACCCGUGCCGUGAAGCCGGUAUGGGGACAAUGGUAGGCAGGCGGUUUGACUGGGGCGGUCGCCUCCUAAAGAGUAACGGAGGUGCGCGAAGGUCUCCUCACGCCGGUUGGAAAUCGGCGCAGCGAGUGUAAAGGCACAAGGAGGCUUAACUGCGAGAGUGACAGCUCAAGCAGAUACGAAAGUAGGUCUUAGUGAUCUGGCGGUAGCGAGUGGAAGCGCCGUCACUUAACGGAUAAAAGGUACUCCGGGGAUAACAGGCUGAUUUUCCCCAAGAGUUCACAUCGACGGGAAAGUUUGGCACCUCGAUGUCGGCUCAUCGCAUCCUGGGGCUGAAGUAGGUCCCAAGGGUUUGGCUGUUCGCCAAUUAAAGCGGUACGUGAGCUGGGUUCAGAACGUCGCGAGACAGUUCGGUCCCUAUCUGCUAUGGGCGUUGGAUACGUGAGAGGAGCUGUUUUUAGUACGAGAGGACCGAAAUGGACGAACCUCUGGUGUACCGGUUAUCCUGCCAAGGGUAAGUGCUGGGUAGCUAAGUUCGGAAGGGAUAACCGCUGAAGGCAUCUAAGCGGGAAGCCCGCCUCAAGAUUACAUAUCCCUCAGGGUUUAACCCUGCUAAAGACUCCUUGCACACUACAAGGUUGAUAGGUUGCAGGUCUAAGCACAGUAAUGUGUUAUAGCCGAGCAAUACUAAUAAGUCGUGAGGCUUGACC